This 253-nucleotide ribosomal RNA is filed under the name uncultured bacterium. Its description in RNAcentral is "partial 16S ribosomal RNA". It matches the Rfam family "Bacterial small subunit ribosomal RNA", at positions 524 to 776 of the family's 1533-position model. The record is from RNAcentral.
UACAGAGGUGGCAAGCGUUGUUCGGAAUUACUGGGCGUAAAGGGCGCGUAGGUGGCCUUCUAAGUCAGACGUGAAAUCCCCAGGCUUAACUUGGGAACUGCGUCUGAUACUGGAAGGCUUGAGUUCGGGAGAGGGAUGUGGAAUUCCAGGUGUAGCGGUGAAAUGCGUAGAUAUCUGGAGGAACACCGGUGGCGAAGGCGGCAUCCUGGACCGAAACUGACACUGAGGCGCGAAAGCUAGGGGAGCAAACGGG